GCUAAUACCGGAUAACAACAGAUGAUGCCUAUCAACUGUUUAAAAGAAUGGUUCUGCUAUCACUCUUGGAUGGACCUGCGGUGCAUUAGCUAGUUGGUAGGGUAACGGCCUACCAAGGCGAUGAUGCAUAGCCGAGUUGAGAGACUGAUCGGCCACAUUGGGACUGAGACACGGCCCAAACUCCUACGGGAGGCAGCAGAC
This 201-nucleotide ribosomal RNA is filed under the name uncultured Lactobacillus sp. RNAcentral's name for it is "partial 16S ribosomal RNA". It matches the Rfam family "Bacterial small subunit ribosomal RNA", at positions 162 to 354 of the family's 1533-position model. The record is from RNAcentral. Lineage: Bacteria; Bacillati; Bacillota; Bacilli; Lactobacillales; Lactobacillaceae.